AUGCAGGUCGGUGACAGAUUUAGUAGCAGACAUGGACAAAAAGGUGUUUGUGGUACCAUUCUUCAGCAGGAAGAUUUCUCCUUCUCUGAGAGAGGAAUAUGCCCUGAUUUAAUUAUGAAUCCCCAUGGAUUUCCAAGUCGUAUGACGGUAGGAAAAAUGCUUGAACUUCUUGGGGGAAAAGCUGGUGCAUCAGGUGGGCAAUUUCAUUAUGGCAGUGCAUUUGGUGAACCAAGUGGUAAUGCUAAUAAAGUUGAAGACAUGAGCUAUACUCUUGUCAAGCACGGCUUCAACUAUCAUGGAAAAGAUUUAUUGUACUCAGGCACUUUAGGCCACCCACUUCAGGCAUAUAUCUUCAUGGGGCCAAUCUACUAUCAGAAACUGAAGCACAUGGUUCUUGAUAAGAUGCAUGCUCGAGCUAGUGGACCACGAGUUGCUUUGACCAGGCAACCUACUGGAGGGCAAAACAGCAAUGGAGGACUGCGUCUUGGUGAGAUGGAGCGUGAUUGUUUAAUUGCUCAUGGUGCCAGUAUGGUGAUAUUUGAACGUCUAUUACUGUCGAGUGACCCAUAUCAAGCGCAGGUUUGCAGAAAAUGUGGUUUAUUAGGCUACUACAACCAGAGACUCGAGACCUCCUUCUGUUCAUUUUGCAAAAGCGGAGAAAAUAUGCAGCAACUGAUGAUGCCAUAUGCUUGCAAGCUAUUGUUUCAGGAACUGACAGCGAUGAACGUCGUUCCAAGGUUAAAGCUAACCGAAGGAUAA
Molecule: ribosomal RNA, 759 nt
Filed under: Triticum aestivum (bread wheat)
Lineage: Eukaryota; Viridiplantae; Streptophyta; Magnoliopsida; Poales; Poaceae
Description: partial small subunit ribosomal RNA
Source: RNAcentral